AUUGGAAAAGCUUGCAGAUACGUCGAAGUUGAUCACUUGUUGGUAUGUAUUUCCUGGAAGGUUUUGUACAUAAAAUUGAGAAUGGAAAUGGUGAAUUUGCCAAAGAGACAACAACCCGACCAUAGAGCAGACAACAGCAGAAGGUCACCAACAGGUCUUCAAUGUAUGUUUGUUUUGUUUUAUUGAAUAGCAAACGCCUGUACAAUCUGUUAAGAUAAAAGCCUGUGUACACCAAGACAAACAAAUAAUAACAAUACAUGUUGUGCCUUUUAGAUUAAGAGCAGCAAUGCAUUUACUUCAAAUGUACAAGGCGAGAAAAGGUUCAUAUUCAUGUUUAAAUAAUAUGAUAUGUAUGGUUAACAUUUAAACGCAAAACGAUAAUUAUAAGCCUAUCUAAGUGUUGAGUAAAAGUACACACCAUUUAAAAAUUAACAACAUGUUUGGCAUUAUAGGUAAGAAAAGUGCAAUUAUUGGUUUGAAUUCAGUCGUCUGUUUUAUUUACCCCAAGGUGGUACAAUGAAAACACUUUGAGGCUCUUAAUGAGAUAAUGCAGAUUGGGAGUACUUUUUAUUUGAAAUCAUUUAGGCUUGCAAAACGAGAUAAAAAUGCGAUUAACCAAUUGCACUAAUUGGCAAUCUUUACACGAUAUUGCUUUUUUGUUAUUGAUUUAAGUAUUUUUCAAAGGUUACAUUUCCAAUUAAGUGCCGGUUUCUGAAGCUUUUAUAACAGCUGGUGAUUUUCGUAUAAUCGUGAAUUUUGCGGAAUUCUUCAAAAAUGUAUAAAAGAUUAAGAAAGAAUAAUAGUGGCGCCCACCUACACCUACAGAAAACUUGCUGAAAUAAUCUAUAUGUACCAUUUAAAAAAAAAUUCAAACAUAAAUGGGCCAUAUAUAUAAGCAAAAAUGUUAAAUGUUUCAUGUGUAGUGGUUAGCGCAUCGGACUACUAUCACAAAGGUUCCUGGUUCGAUUCCCGUCUGGGAUGAAAAUUACAGGGACUAAAUUGUUUACUCUCCCUUGACACCAUUUGCGAGUAUGGACUUUAAGAAACAAUGAUAGUCCGUCGGAAGGGGUUGAUGAAUGGCUGACCCGUGUUAAGAGAGAGCCAUAUCUCUUGCACGUUAAAGACACCCUUGUAGAUUUCGAAAAAGAGCAGGCUAAUGCCGCUACAAGGCAGUAAUCGCACCCGCAAAGUGAAAAGGGAUUAAUAUAAGUUGUAAAACGUGUUUCCCAAUCCACUAUAAAUAAAUAUGUUUAAACUAAGUAAAGAAAGUGUCGUCUUUUAUUGAAAAAAAUCUACGGAAGAUACCAAAACCAUAACGCUACAUUUUUCGUAUUUAAAGUAUAGAUCCUAGGUAAUUACUUUCUUUGGUAUAUGUAUAACGUGCUAUAGUAUCAUAUUUUGUCUUUGUAUAUUAUUAAUAAUACCUUUUAGUCUUGUGUUGGUAAUAUCCAUUAACGUUGCUCUGUGCUUAUACAUUAUAUCAUGUUGUUAUUGUGGUGCUAUGCUUACUUUUUUGGUCACGCAUUGCUGUAAAAAUAAAGGAAUUUUACGUGACUAUCAUAAAAGAAAGCGGUUCAGCUAGCUAUAAAACCGAUUAUUACAAAAGAACAUGCAAAUUACACGUCAAGAAUAUGACUGUUGUUUUCAUUCGUUUGAUGUCUUUAAGAUUUUUAUUUUGAAAUUGGCCUAGGGAAUUUCCGUUUAUAAUUUCCUGGGAGUUCGGUUUUCAUUAUUUUUUUUUUUUUACUUCAUAUAGGAUCAUUUUUUGACAAUAAGAUACAUACCACAGAUUAUUUAUACUUUGUAAGUAGAGCCAGAUCCAUACAAAAGUCACUAUGUAUGUAUGUUGUAUAAUCUUUAUAAUCUUAUAAUUGUCUUGUUUCAUCGAAGUGAUCGAUUCAUUGCUGUUUAUCGAUAUAGCUUUUAACGUGUUUUAAUCAUGUUUUCUUUUUUGCUUUCAUUUAGGAAACUUCACUAUCGAUAAAUUUGUUGUUCUACAUACCCAAAGUGGAACCAUAGAAGAAUUCUAAUAUGUCAUCGCCAUGUUACCUUAUUUAUAGCUAGAAAUCAAAUUAUAACCUGAUCAAGAAAAGAGGUUUUUCUUGGACAUCAAACAGAAACAACAUUGCGACUUCAUAUAAUUUUGAACUGAACUUUCUUUCACACUGUGUAAUGUUAUGGAAACCGUUGAUAGUUUGUCAUUACAUCGAGCUAGGAGUUGAUGCUGAAUUUUUUUGAGGACGGUCAAAAUUCUAUUAUGAAUCAUAAAACACGAAAAACAUCGCAAGUCUGUGCAGGGAACUCAUGUACAAUAUAAAUCAUGUUGUUAUGUUAUUGUUCAUUGUAUAUACAUGUAUACACUUUUGUUACUGGGUUAUUAUCAAUCUCUAUUUUGAUAUGCCCCACCUAGGAGCAUUAUUGUUUACGGUCUAUCCGUCUAUCCGUUCGUCUGUUCCGCUUUUUGUGGUCAAGGUUCAAGUUCAAGUUUUUUGUCAAUGUAGUUUUUGAUGAUGUUGAAAGACAAUCGACUUGAAACUUAGUAUACGUUUCCCAUAUAGUGUUUUAUAAAAUAAUAUAGAAAACAAUAGUACUUUACACACAUUAUUUGUAUACAUAUUUGUAUUAUGUAAAAGUAUAUGAACUCCACAAUUAGAAAUAUACCUAUACCUAAAUGACAUUCUAAAAUAGGUUUUAACAAUUUGAUGACAAUUUAAAUGUGAUCUAUAAACUGAAUACACGUACCUUUCGUAGAUCAUGUUGAUAUAGUAUAAUUAUUUAAGGC
This 2782-nucleotide long non-coding RNA is filed under the name Mytilus galloprovincialis (Mediterranean mussel). Lineage: Eukaryota; Metazoa; Mollusca; Bivalvia; Mytilida; Mytilidae. The record is from RNAcentral.